Molecule: ribosomal RNA, 292 nt
Filed under: uncultured bacterium
Lineage: Bacteria
Description: partial 16S ribosomal RNA
Source: RNAcentral
GGACUACUGGGGUUUCUAAUCCCAUUCGCUACCUACGCUUUCGUGUUUCAGCGUCAGGAGUGCGCCAGUGAAUUGCCUUCGCUUUUGGUGUUCCCCAUGAUAUCAACGGAUUUCACCCCUACUCCAUGAGUUCCAUUCACCUCUCGCAUCCUCUAGUCAUGCCGUUUCCUUUGCAUGCCCCCGGUUAAGCCGAAGAAUUUAACAAAAGACUAACAUGACCGCCUACACACCCUUUACGCCCAAUAAUUCCGGAUAACGCUCGGGGCACUCGUAUUACCGCGGCUGCUGGCAC